This 301-nucleotide ribosomal RNA is filed under the name uncultured bacterium. RNAcentral's name for it is "partial 16S ribosomal RNA". It matches the Rfam family "Bacterial small subunit ribosomal RNA", at positions 509 to 807 of the family's 1533-position model. The record is from RNAcentral.
CAGCCGCCGCGGUAAUACGUAGGGUGCAAGCGUUAAUCGGAAUUACUGGGCGUAAAGCGUGCGCAGGCGGUUUGUUAAGACAGAUGUGAAAUCCCCGGGCUCAACCUGGGAACUGCAUUUGUGACUGGCAAGCUAGAGUGUGGCAGAGGGGGGUGGAAUUCCGCGUGUAGCAGUGAAAUGCGUAGAUAUGCGGAGGAACACCGAUGGCGAAGGCAGCCCCCUGGGCCAACACUGACGCUCAUGCACGAAAGCGUGGGGAGCAAACAGGAUUAGAUACCCGUGUAGUCCCUGUCUCUUAUAC